This 2725-nucleotide small RNA is filed under the name Histoplasma capsulatum. Its description in RNAcentral is "hypothetical RNA". Lineage: Eukaryota; Fungi; Ascomycota; Eurotiomycetes; Onygenales; Ajellomycetaceae. RNAcentral also lists the same sequence under 1 other name. The record is from RNAcentral.
CUUUGGGCUGCCGCGCCCUAUGUGAGCUGUCUAGCGCCCACCCUCACCCCCGGCUGCCCGUCAACGUCAUCCCUUCACGGCUAUAUAAAGGGCCGCCUCCGUGCCUCUCUCGCACACAGCUCUGCUUCCUUUUGCCCUUCCCCUUCUGCCUAUCCCGGGCUCCCCUUUCUUUCCUCAGUGGCUCCGGGGUCCGCGGCCCCGUGUCCGUUCAGCUCCCCACCAGCGUUUUCCAGGCGGUUCGGAAUGUCUUCCAGGUUCAACGAUUCCGUUGCAGACGCACAGCUCUGGCUCCAGUCGUCUGCUUAAUGUCCUCAAAUAAGAUAUUUGCAGGCGUAUAAUAAGUGACACCAGUGGCCUUGUUCCCAGCGAACAACAACCCAACAAAGUUGGCCACACAAUCAACUAUGAAAGACCCAGAAUCGCCUCUUUUCGAGAAGGCCUCUGACCCUGGCAGACUGGUAACGGAGCACUCAUUGGCGACAAUUAUAUUUCCAGUUUUCCAACACUUAAGCUCUAAGACUUUCAAGCCACUAAAACGGCCAAUGGUAAAAUUCGUUCUUCGACCGAACUUGUACAGUCGUUGAUAUUGCGAAAACUUGGCAUCAGCGGGAUCAUCCACAGCCUCACCGGAGAACGUGAUACCCAUAUGCUCGUCAAUGUAUGAACCGACUGGUGGGAACUAUUAACCGAUGUCAGAAAAAGCUCGCGAGACUGUACGUUUGUUAAAGAAAAAGAUAUACACCCACUUUGUUCUGCCCCACACGAUUUUGAUACACAGAUAUUAACGCCCAAUCUAGCUGGCGUUUGUCAUUACCAGAGGUCAGCCGGAACCCAGACGCAGCAUAAACUCUCCCCAAUGUUGCGGAUCCGGUGUUGAAAUGCUUUUCCGCACGGAGUUUUAGAGAAAGAGCGUUGAGGAUGGCUUUCUCCAUGUUUUCAAAUAUCAGUUCUUCCUUUGGGAUAAUGAAGUCACCGUCAUUCCUGGCCUUCUUGACUCGCUUGUACAGAGAUUGCUCCCUGACUGUCUCGAUAUUCUGCUUGAUCAUCUUCAUCCGUGCAUUGUGGUCUUUCAAGGAGGGCUGAUCGAUGCGGAUAUUCGCCUUGCUCGACUCCAGCACUGACAUUCCUAUAUCUCUCCAUCGCUCAAUAUCUAAGCACUGAUUAGCCAUGGGUACAAUGUCGAGAAAUUUCCCUAGUGAGAAGAAUUUUACCACAGUAUUGAAACCAGAUAAGGGGUGUGCAAAUUCGUCUUCAAAGCACAAAAAGCAAAAACUAAACACAAAAAAGAGAGAGACAGAGUAUAGAGUUGGAGCUUACCUUUUCCCAGCUUAGAAUUAGGUGGGACGUUUCCUGGUUCAACUGCAUGAUAGCAUGUGAGGCCAAACACGUGCCAUUUGUUCUUUUCUGAGUCCAGCAACUCGACGAAUCCGCCCAAAGUAGAGCCACCGUGAUCUGAAUUAUGGACCCCAAUGCUCGCGCCCAGUUUCACCUUUGUCUCCCAUGCAUGGUCAGGGAGGAUGACACUAGUCAAGCCGACUUCUGUUCCUCGCCAGAUCGUGCUUCGGAUAAUCUCAACAGCAACCUCUCCAAGUCCUUCAUUAUCCAGAAGCAUAGAAAUCUCAUCGCGUUUGCUCUUCCAUUCUUUGGUGGUAUCACGAGGCACGGUCAACAAAACAGUGGGAUGACUUUCUUGGGCAUCUUGGCUUGUACCCCUCCGAAAACACUCAAGAGACAACCAACCCUCUAAACCAAGGAGGUCACAAAUUUUGCGAGAGAUGUCAUCCCACUUGCUAUAAAUAGGAUCUUUAGGCAUCACAGGAGAUGUGAUCUUUUCAAUAUUCGCUCUCUCGUCGAUCAACUCCACACUAACGUUGUCGAAGCCCGAGGACCACAGAAUCGACAGGACAUCUUUGCACGUGUUUUUCCAGGAAUUGCCUCGCUCAGUUCUAUGUGCACAGAUGAGGACCGUUUCAAUCGGGCCUUCAUCUUCAUAUGUUUCAGACGUUCGAAGGCAUGGAUCCAUGGUGCUAUGAUGGAUCCGAUACUUCGAGAGGAUUUCGAUGAACUUAGGGCGUAGCUCUGGCCACUGUCUCUCGAGUGGAUGAUCUGACGCAAGUGGAGUACCUAUGGCAGGAACAGUGCAUAGAAACGGGCCACCGACCCGAAAAUCUUCGCUAAGAAUGCCAUCUUCAGUCUCAUCCUCAUCAGUGCUUGAACCACGAGUCCUUCUGAAACGCUCUUGCGAGAUGUGAGGUGAUGGUAGCGACACUGGGGGUUCAGACAGAAACCGCAGAACAGGUGAGGCAUAUGCUUCCUCGGAGCUCCUAUUCAUCCGCCUUCUGGAGGAGGCAGUAGUUGCAGUUUGGGACAUGGUGAACGCUUCCACGAGACCUACGCGCGAUGAUAAGUAGAAGUUUAGAAAUGGACAAGAAAUGUUUUUGAGAAUAAUGAAACUGCACAGAGGUGCAGCCGCUGCAGAAGAAAGAGGACAAAAAUUCCCAACUCCGAUGUGUUGAAGUGCAGAGCCCAGGGAGGAAAGAAUAGAGAAAGAACCGCUUGGAACAUUGUAAAGCCGGGUGUGCAGUCCAGCGGAUCCUUUGGUGAUUAUGACUCAAGUAAAAUAGAAUCAUGGUGUCUCCUAUAAAAUGUACACAGUAUUCGACGGUCAAGCCCAAACUCUGUUGCGCUCUGUAAAAGCCAUACUAGGAAGAAUCGUUGAAACCAC